This 78-nucleotide transfer RNA is filed under the name Luteimonas sp. Its description in RNAcentral is "tRNA-Met". It matches the Rfam family "tRNA". From Rfam's summary of the family: Transfer RNA (tRNA) molecules are approximately 80 nucleotides in length. Their secondary structure includes four short double-helical elements and three loops (D, anti-codon, and T loops). Lineage: Bacteria; Pseudomonadati; Pseudomonadota; Gammaproteobacteria; Lysobacterales; Lysobacteraceae. The record is from RNAcentral.
GGCGUGGAGCAGCGGCCCGGCAGCUCGUUGGGCUCAUGACCCGAAGGUCGCAGGUUCGGAUCCUGCCCCUGGCUACCA